GAGAGUAUAGCUCAGUGGUAGCGUGCAUGUUUCCCACACAGGAGGUCCUGGGUUCAAUCCCCAGUACCUCCA
RNAcentral lists this transfer RNA (72 nucleotides) under Camelus bactrianus (Bactrian camel). It matches the Rfam family "tRNA". From Rfam's summary of the family: Transfer RNA (tRNA) molecules are approximately 80 nucleotides in length. Their secondary structure includes four short double-helical elements and three loops (D, anti-codon, and T loops). Lineage: Eukaryota; Metazoa; Chordata; Mammalia; Artiodactyla; Camelidae. The record is from Rfam by way of RNAcentral. RNAcentral also lists the same sequence under 1 other name.